Non-coding RNA from Acanthosepion pharaonis, 89 nucleotides. Lineage: Eukaryota; Metazoa; Mollusca; Cephalopoda; Sepiida; Sepiidae. The record is from the annotation of a GenBank genome assembly.
GGGUUUCCGUACGACCAGCGAAGUUAAGCAACGUCGAGCCUGGUCAGUGCUUAGAUGGCUGACUGCUUGGGAAUGCUAGGUGCUGCAAA